UAUAAUCUAGGGUUCGAAUUCUCUUUGCAGCCCUGUCUCAAGGGGCUCUCAUAUUUUACUAAUAUUCUCGUUCAAGAGUUCUUACAGCACAUGAUAAACAGCUUUGGGAAAAAACUUGAACAAGUAUGGUAAUCACCAUAACACGAAAAGCUAAUCCACUUGUAAGUGGUAAUUCAGGUACUUCGCUGAACUUUAUCUCGUGGAAGCAUGUGAGCAUGA
This 219-nucleotide long non-coding RNA is filed under the name Salvia miltiorrhiza (redroot sage). Its description in RNAcentral is "long non-coding RNA (SMIL_LNC009939)". Lineage: Eukaryota; Viridiplantae; Streptophyta; Magnoliopsida; Lamiales; Lamiaceae. The record is from RNAcentral.